This 395-nucleotide long non-coding RNA is filed under the name Pongo abelii (Sumatran orangutan). RNAcentral's name for it is "lincRNA". The record is from RNAcentral. Lineage: Eukaryota; Metazoa; Chordata; Mammalia; Primates; Hominidae.
UCACAGUGGCGGAAGUGGACUAAGACAUCAUGUUGCCUCAAGUUUAAUUGGAAAUCGUGUGCCUUGUAAAGAAUGGACACUCAGUAGAUGCUUAUUGAUUAACCUGUUGGUUGAGGAUAACUCGCUAACUUUUCUGAGCUUUGUUGGAAAAACUAGACAGGGGUCUCACUAUGUGAUGCACGAUGUUCUCAAACUCCCUGGCCUCAAGCGAUCCUCCUGCCUUGAUCUCCUAAAGUGCUGGGAUUACAGCAGGUCACUGUAUCUCUAUGCAUUACAGAAAAUGACUAGUUAAAAACUUGUCAAGAGAUGGGGUUUUACUAUGUUGGAGAAGCUAGUCUCAAACUCCUGGGCUCAAGUCAUCCUCCCGCCUCAGCCUGGUUAUUGAGAUUACAGAC